GAUGGUGGACCAUAGCGACGCAGACGGUCGGAACAGGUUCUGAUUAUUGGGGUUGGAGUAUGACGGCUUGGGAGUCACGGAACUGUGGGGGAGAAGAAACAUUUGGAUUAGACCAGCCGAUCGAUUAUCUCUUCUAGAGGUAAACAGAAAUAAAGAUGAACCUGAUACAUCUAAUGGUCCUACAACUGAUCUUGAGCAUGAAGACAAAGCACAGAACACAUGCAGAACGAAGAAUUUAGGGGCCCACCCAAGCAAACGUUGGUCACGAUCUUCUUGUCAACUUUCAACUCAUCAGUAACGUCUGCACUGAUGCUCUUUCGGCUAAAAAGUGUGUGAAGCUUUUUUGUUCUUUACAAAAAGCCAACAUACUCAAAGGCGAUUCAUACUUUGAGCAACGCCGCAGCCAGCGCAACCACAGCGAACGCAGCCGCAUCGGCUCAGCGAGCGCAGCCGCAGCGAGCUGAAGUCGAUUCUGGCCCGUUUGGGGCUGCCCACAAAGGGCUGAUUGGAGUAAUGAUUUUCAGCAGCUACAAGUUUGGGGCUGCUACGAUAUGAAGCUCGCAAGCCCUUGAUUUGGAUUCUUUUGGUGGAGGAAUCGACUCGUAAUCAACGGUAAGUGGUUUGGUUUGGUUAUGCACUUAUGCUUAAUGUUUACCAGGAUUUUAAGUGAUUUUGGGAUCCAUUAUUAAAGGUAAACGAGUUAAGAGGCUGCUGCAUUUUGGUUCUUAUUUAGUAACAUAUCAAAUAGUAAAUUAGCAUAAC
RNAcentral lists this long non-coding RNA (762 nucleotides) under Helianthus annuus (common sunflower). RNAcentral's name for it is "hypothetical non coding rna". The record is from RNAcentral. Lineage: Eukaryota; Viridiplantae; Streptophyta; Magnoliopsida; Asterales; Asteraceae.